Molecule: long non-coding RNA, 1155 nt
Organism: Chelonia mydas (Green sea turtle)
Lineage: Eukaryota; Metazoa; Chordata; Testudines; Cheloniidae
Exons: 2
Source: RefSeq, a predicted model, not a curated record
AGAAAUAGCAACAGGGUCCGGGUGCAAGGAGACCCUCGUCGCUAGACAUUGGGUCCCUAGACUGGAACCCCAAGUAAUGGUCAAGCUGGGUUCCCUUACCAGCCACUGGGAAUGUGGCACUGGACCUGGCCUUGGAUUGGAAAACGGUCUCAAGUGGAUGAAGGCAGCUGAUCCAGCAGGACUUUGAUACCCCAUUAGGGGAGGACUGUAAAGUGACCUCCUGGCUGGAGCAUUGAGUCGUGAAGAGGAAGCGCACAGAGUCCCAGAAAGCGAGUGGGGCCGUGGCAAGAGAGAGACGAUGGAAGAGGGCAUCAGACCUGGAAGGAGCUAAUCCCCAGAGCAGCCAGGAGGAGGUGUCACCCUAGCGAAGGUACCGUAUGAUCAAGAGUUAUAGAUGUCCCGUUCCUGAGAUUUACCUAAACUCUAGAAAUUGGCACUAAGGCUUGGUCUUCCCUACAAAGUUAGGUUGACACAAGCUGCCUUACAUCAACAUAGCAGUGCAUGUCUCCCACCAAUGUAAGCUCACCAUUACGCUAACAUAGUAAUACCACCUCCCUGAGUGGUGUUGAGCCACGGUCAAUGUACUGAGGUUGACACAGCAGAGGACUCAGGAUGACAUGUUCAGUGAGAUCCUGCAAGCCAGAGCUGCGCCAGAUCGUGAGCAAAGGGCCUGGAGGGUAAACAUGGCAGACAGCCUGGAGAAGGAAAGACUGGAUAGGAGAGAGUCCCAGCAGGAAAAGGAGAGGGAGAUGCACUAGGACAGAAUGGACCUUCUGUGUCAGUAAACGCAGAAGCUGCAGACUCUUUUGGACCUACAGGUUCAAAAAGCCCAGACUCGCCUCUCUUUGCUGUCCAUGGAAAACUUCACUGCAGCAUCUCCCUACAUGUCCCCUCAACAUUUCACAUGGCAUCAGGAGCCGCAUCCCUACCCCCAUCACUCCACGCCAACGGACAUUAAGGACAGCCGCAACUUAACAUACACUGACCUGUGAAAACCAGAGUUGCUGUAUGUGUAGCUAAAAUGGACAUGCAUGUUCUUUCCCUUUUUAAGUUCUGUUCCAUUAAUUUAUUGAGUUUUUUAAUGCAUUUGCUUUUAAAUGGCACAGAGUUUUCUUUGCACUGAUGUUGUUACUGAAUAAAAUUCUAUUUGGAAAA